Molecule: ribosomal RNA, 165 nt
Filed under: Raddia portoi
Lineage: Eukaryota; Viridiplantae; Streptophyta; Magnoliopsida; Poales; Poaceae
Description: 5.8S ribosomal RNA
Rfam family: 5.8S ribosomal RNA
About the family: 5.8S ribosomal RNA (5.8S rRNA) is a component of the large subunit of the eukaryotic ribosome. It is transcribed by RNA polymerase I as part of the 45S precursor that also contains 18S and 28S rRNA.
Source: RNAcentral
ACACGACUCUCGGCAACGGAUAUCUCGGCUCUCGCAUCGAUGAAGAACGUAGCGAAAUGCGAUACCUGGUGUGAAUUGCAGAAUCCCGCGAACCAUCGAGUCUUUGAACGCAAGUUGCGCCCGAGGCCAUCCGGCCGAGGGCACGCCUGCCUGGGCGUCACGCCA